AUUGAACGCUGGCGGCAGGCCUAACACAUGCAAGUCGAACGGUAACAGGAAGAAGCUUGCUUCUUUGCUGACGAGUGGCGGACGGGUGAGUAAUGUCUGGGAAACUGCCUGAUGGAGGGGGAUAACUACUGGAAACGGUAGCUAAUACCGCAUAACGUCGCAAGACCAAAAAAGGGGGACCCUUCGGGCCGUCUUGCCAUCGGAUGUGCCCAGAUGGGAUUAGCUAGUAGGUGGGGUAACGGCUCACCUAGGCGACGAUCCCUAGCUGGUCUGAGAGGAUGACCAGCCACACUGGAACUGAGACACGGUCCAGACUCCUACGGGAGGCAGCAGUGGGAAUAUUGCACAAUGGGCGGCAAAGCCUGAUGCAGCCAUGCCGCGUGUAUGAAG
This 390-nucleotide ribosomal RNA is filed under the name uncultured bacterium. RNAcentral describes it as "bacterial SSU rRNA". It matches the Rfam family "Bacterial small subunit ribosomal RNA", at positions 30 to 410 of the family's 1533-position model. The record is from RNAcentral.